UUGGGAAUCUUCGCAGCAGCAGAACCCGCUGCCUCCAGGUCCGACCAGACCUGCAUAGGUAGAGAGUCCCCGCACAGGGCGGCCAGCAGAGCUACCCAGCUGCCCCAGGGCCUCGGGACCCCUGGGCCUGGGACCCAGGCCAGACCCUGACUCAUUCGGUGAUCUCACAGGACUCCUCCCACCCCAAGACCCUUUCAGGGACCCUGCCUCGAACUCCACGACAUGGGAGGCAGGGGCGGGCCUUUUGCAGGGGAAGGACUCCCCCAGCAGGACGUUUACUGAAUCUGGAGGGAGUCGCCCUGCAGAUAUCCCGCGGAAGCCGGAGGAGACCCAGGUGCGCCCCACCGGCUAGCUGCGCCUGCGGGUGCCCAAAUUGGUGUCCGGGCCAUCCUCACCGCAGUGACUCCUCCGCAGCGCCAACGCACUCCAUUUUCCUUCCACCCUGCCGGUGGGGGGCGUUUGCUUGUUCUCACUCUGCAGCCGCAGCCAGUGGCGCCGCUACCAAGGUCCCCGCCUCGCCAUCCGGGUCCUGCCUGAGCAUCCUUAUUGGUGCUCAGGGCUAGGCGUGCAUUGCUGCUAGGGGCGCGGAAAGGUUUAUCGUGGGUGGAUGCUGCCCGGGGCUUGAGUGGUUUUUAGAGGUCUUGAGUGGCUCACUCUCCAAUCAGCGCUUUCUAGAGACAGCGUGGUCAGCGUACUUGCUUACUUUCAGGAUUGCGAGACGUCUUUAACCCUUGCUGAUCGGCUGACGCUGCAGCUUCCUGUGGCUUCCUGCUCAUUUCCCGCAAGAUAGCACUGAUAGGGUAUUGGAAAUCCUUAUGUAAAGUAUCUGUUCACUGUUUUUGCCCAUUUUCUUGAUUUAUUUGAACUGAUUCUUCUAUUCUUUUGAAGUUAAUGUGUUGCAAUUUUCACAUCUAUGUUGUUUUUUCAUUAGUGGCAUUUCUCAACUCCUUGAUUUCUUGAAUUUCAUGUUGUCUAUUUCAGUAUGUAUUAAAUUAUCUGUGACGGUGGA
RNAcentral lists this long non-coding RNA (1009 nucleotides) under Homo sapiens (human). RNAcentral describes it as "non-protein coding lnc-TEX51-2:6". The record is from RNAcentral. Lineage: Eukaryota; Metazoa; Chordata; Mammalia; Primates; Hominidae.